This 532-nucleotide ribosomal RNA is filed under the name uncultured Spongiobacter sp. RNAcentral's name for it is "bacterial SSU rRNA". It matches the Rfam family "Bacterial small subunit ribosomal RNA", at positions 11 to 533 of the family's 1533-position model. The record is from RNAcentral. Lineage: Bacteria; Pseudomonadati; Pseudomonadota; Gammaproteobacteria.
GUUUGAUCCUGGCUCAGAUUGAACGCUGGCGGCAGGCCUAACACAUGCAAGUCGAGCGGUAACAGAACUAGCUUGCUAGUUGCUGACGAGCGGCGGACGGGUGCGUAACACGUAGGAAUCUGCCCAGUAGUGGGGGAUAGCCCGGAGAAAUUCGGAUUAAUACCGCAUACGCCCUAAGGGGGAAAGCAGGGGAUCUUCGGACCUUGCGCUACUGGAUGAGCCUGCGUCGGAUUAGCUUGUUGGUGGGGUAAAGGCCUACCAAGGCAACGAUCCGUAGCUGAUCUGAGAGGAUGAUCAGCCACACUGGGACUGAGACACGGCCCAGACUCCUACGGGAGGCAGCAGUGGGGAAUAUUGCACAAUGGGCGAAAGCCUGAUGCAGCCAUGCCGCGUGUGUGAAGAAGGCUCUAGGGUUGUAAAGCACUUUCAGCGAGGAGGAAAGGUUGACGAUUAAUACUCGUUAGCUGUGACGUUACUCGCAGAAGAAGCACCGGCUAACUCCGUGCCAGCAGCCGCGGUAAUAAGGGCGAAU